Molecule: long non-coding RNA, 317 nt
Organism: Oncorhynchus tshawytscha (Chinook salmon)
Lineage: Eukaryota; Metazoa; Chordata; Actinopteri; Salmoniformes; Salmonidae
Source: Ensembl
CCACCCCCCACCAGGUGUCUCCCAUCUCCCCUCACCUGUCUUUGUGUUUGUCCCCCCCCACCAGGUGUCUCCAUCUCCCCUCACCUGUCUUUGUGCUGGUCUCCACCCCCCACCAGGUGUCUCCAUCUCCCCUCACCUGUCUUUGUGCCUGUCUCCACCCCCCACCAGGUGUCUCCGUCUCCCCUCACCUGUCUUUGUGCCUGUCUCCACCCCCCACCAGGUGUCUCCAUCUCCCCUCACCUGUCUUUGUGCUGGUCUCCACCCCCACCAGGUGUCUCCGUCUCCCCUCACCUGUCUUUGUGCUUGUCUCCACCCCC